Molecule: transfer RNA, 73 nt
Filed under: Cyclobacteriaceae bacterium
Lineage: Bacteria; Pseudomonadati; Bacteroidota; Cytophagia; Cytophagales; Cyclobacteriaceae
Description: tRNA-Met
Rfam family: tRNA
About the family: Transfer RNA (tRNA) molecules are approximately 80 nucleotides in length. Their secondary structure includes four short double-helical elements and three loops (D, anti-codon, and T loops).
Source: RNAcentral
CGUGGUGUAGAGCAGUGGUCAGCUCGUCAGGCUCAUAAUCUGAAGGUCGCGGGUUCGAGUCCCGCCACCGCAA